AGAGUUUGAUCCUGGCUCAGGAUGAACGCUGGCGGCGUGCUUAACACAUGCAAGUCGAACGAUCCUUCGGGAUAGUGGCGGACGGGUGAGUAACGCGUGGGAAUCUGCCCUCAGGAGGGGGAUAACGGCUGGAAACGGCCGCUAAUACCCCAUAUGCCGAGAGGUGAAAUGAAUUUCGCCUGAGGAUGAGCCCGCGUCUGAUUAGCUAGUUGGUGGGGUAAAGGCCUACCGAGGCGACGAUCAGUAGCUGGUCUGAGAGGAUGAUCAGCCACACUGGGACUGAGACACGGCCCAGACUCCUACGGGAGGCAGCAGUGGGGAAUUUUCCGCAAUGGGCGAAAGCCUGACGGAGCAACGCCGCGUGAGGGAUGAAGGCCUCUGGGCUGUAAACCUCUUUUCUCAAGGAAGAAGAACUGACGGUACUUGAGGAAUAAGCCACGGCUAAUUCCGUGCCAGCAGCCGCGGUAAUACGGGAGUGGCAAGCGUUAUCCGGAAUUAUUGGGCGUAAAGCGUCCGCAGGCGGCCUUGUAAGUCUGUUGUUAAAGCGUGGAGCUCAACUCCAUUUAAGCAAUGGAAACUACAAGGCUGGAGUGUGGUAGGGGCAGAGGGAAUUCCCGGUGUAGCGGUGAAAUGCGUAGAUAUCGGGAAGAACACCAGUGGCGAAGGCGCUCUGCUGGGCCAUAACUGACGCUCAUGGACGAAAGCCAGGGGAGCGAAAGGGAUUAGAUACCCCUGUAGUCCUGGCCGUAAACGAUGAACACUAGGUGUCGGGGGAAUCGACCCCCUCGGUGUCGUAGCCAACGCGUUAAGUGUUCCGCCUGGGGAGUACGCACGCAAGUGUGAAACUCAAAGGAAUUGACGGGGGCCCGCACAAGCGGUGGAGUAUGUGGUUUAAUUCGAUGCAACGCGAAGAACCUUACCAGGGUUUGACAUCCUGCGAAUCCCUUGGAAACGAGGGAGUGCCUUCGGGAGCGCAGUGACAGGUGGUGCAUGGCUGUCGUCAGCUCGUGUCGUGAGAUGUUGGGUUAAGUCCCGCAACGAGCGCAACCCACGUCUUUAGUUGCCAGCAUUCAGUUGGGCACUCUAGAGAGACCGCCGGUGAUAAACCGGAGGAAGGUGUGGAUGACGUCAAGUCAUCAUGCCCCUUACAUCCUGGGCUACACACGUACUACAAUGCUACGGACAAAGGGCAGCAAGCUCGCGAGAGUUAGCAAAUCCCAUAAACCGUGGCUCAGUUCAGAUCGUAGGCUGCAACUCGCCUACGUGAAGGAGGAAUCGCUAGUAAUCGCAGGUCAGCAUACUGCGGUGAAUACGUUCCCGGGCCUUGUACACACCGCCCGUCACACCAUGGAAGUUGGCCAUGCCCGAAGUCGUUACUCCAACCCUUGUGGAGGAGGACGCCGAAGGUGGGGCUGAUGACUGGGGUGAAGUCGUAACAAGGUA
Molecule: ribosomal RNA, 1443 nt
Filed under: metagenome
Description: bacterial SSU rRNA
Rfam family: Bacterial small subunit ribosomal RNA
Source: RNAcentral